UACGAACCGUCCAAACGUUAUUCGGAAUCACUGGGCUUAAAGAGUCCGUAGGCGGCUGAGAAAGUAGGGUGUGAAAUCCCACGGCUUAACCGUGGAACUGCGCCCUAAACUUCUCAGCUUGAGGGAGCUAGAGGUAAGCGGAACUGAUGGUGGAGCGGUGAAAUGCGUUGAUAUCAUCAGGAACACCGGAGGCGAAGGCGGCUUACUGGGGCUUUUCUGACGCUGAGGGACGAAAGCUAGGGUAGCGAACGGG
Molecule: ribosomal RNA, 253 nt
Filed under: uncultured bacterium
Lineage: Bacteria
Description: partial 16S ribosomal RNA
Rfam family: Bacterial small subunit ribosomal RNA
Source: RNAcentral